CAACGAGCGCAACCCUCGACUUUAGUUACCAUCAUUAGUUGGGUACUUUAAAGUAACCGCCGGUGAUAAGCCGGAGGAAGGUGGGGAUGACGUCAAGUCCUCAUGGCCCUUACGCGCUGGGCUACACACGUGCUACAAUGGCAAGUACAGUGGGCAGCAAUCCCGCGAGGGUGAGCUAAUCUACCAAAACUUGUCUCAGUUCGGAUUGUUCUCUGCAACUCGAGAGCAUGAAGGCGGAAUCGCUAGUAAUCGCGGAUCAGCAUGCCGCGGUGAAUACGUUCCCAGGCCUU
This 290-nucleotide ribosomal RNA is filed under the name uncultured Sphingomonas sp. RNAcentral's name for it is "partial 16S ribosomal RNA". It matches the Rfam family "Bacterial small subunit ribosomal RNA", at positions 1090 to 1382 of the family's 1533-position model. Lineage: Bacteria; Pseudomonadati; Pseudomonadota; Alphaproteobacteria; Sphingomonadales; Sphingomonadaceae. The record is from RNAcentral.